This 468-nucleotide ribosomal RNA is filed under the name uncultured bacterium. RNAcentral's name for it is "partial 16S ribosomal RNA". It matches the Rfam family "Bacterial small subunit ribosomal RNA", at positions 28 to 507 of the family's 1533-position model. The record is from RNAcentral.
GACGAACGCUGGCGGCGUGCUUAACACAUGCAAGUCGAACGGAAAGGCCCUGCUUUUGUGGGGUGCUCGAGUUGCGAACGGGUGAGUAACACGUGAGUAACCUGCCCUUGACUUUGGGAUAACUUCAGGAAACUGGGGCUCAUACCGGAUAGGAGCUCCUGCUGCAUGGUGGGGGUUGGAAAGUUUCGGCGGUUGGGGAUGGACUCGCGGCUUAUCAGCUUGUUGGUGGGGUAGUGGCUUACCAAGGCUUUGACGGGUAGCCGGCCUGCGAGGGUGACCGGCCACAUUGGGACUGAGAUAGGGCCCAGACUCCUACGGGAGGCAGGAGUGGGGAAUAUAGCACAAUGGGCGGAAGCCUGAUGCAGCAACGCCGCGUGCGGGAUGACGGCCUUCGGGUUGUAAACCGAUUUCGCCUGUGACGAAGCGUGAGUGACGGUAAUGGGUAAAGAAGCACCGGCUAACUACGUG